Molecule: ribosomal RNA, 230 nt
Filed under: uncultured bacterium
Lineage: Bacteria
Description: partial 16S ribosomal RNA
Rfam family: Bacterial small subunit ribosomal RNA
Source: RNAcentral
AAGCGUGCGCAGGCGGUUUUGUAAGACUGUCGUGAAAUCCCCGGGCUCAACCUGGGAAUGGCGAUGGUGACUGCAAGGCUAGAGUUUGGCAGAGGGGGGUAGAAUUCCACGUGUAGCAGUGAAAUGCGUAGAUAUGUGGAGGAACACCGAUGGCGAAGGCAGCCCCCUGGGUCAAAACUGACGCUCAUGCACGAAAGCGGUGGGGAGCAAACAGGAUUAGAUACCCUGGU